UGGGGAAUAUUGGACAAUGGGCGAAAGCCUGAUCCAGCCAUGCCGCGUGUGUGAAGAAGGUCUUCGGAUUGUAAAGCACUUUAAGUUGGGAGGAAGGGCAGUAAGUUAAUACCUUGCUGUUUUGACGUUACCGACAGAAUAAGCACCGGCUAACUCUGUGCCAGCAGCCGCGGUAAUACAGAGGGUGCAAGCGUUAAUCGGAAUUACUGGGCGUAAAGCGCGCGUAGGUGGUGUGUUAAGUUGGAUGUGAAAGCCCCGGGCUCAACCUGGGAACUGCAUCCAAAACUGGCAAGCUAGAGUACGGUAGAGGGUGGUGGAAUUUCCUGUGUAGCGGUGAAAUGCGUAGAUAUAGGAAGGAACACCAGUGGCGAAGGCGACCACCUGGACUGAUACUGACACUGAGGUGCGAAAGCGUGGGGAGCAAACA
This 427-nucleotide ribosomal RNA is filed under the name uncultured bacterium. RNAcentral describes it as "partial 16S ribosomal RNA". It matches the Rfam family "Bacterial small subunit ribosomal RNA", at positions 355 to 774 of the family's 1533-position model. The record is from RNAcentral.